CGUCGGUCUUCAACACUGAAGACUAUUCAACAUUGCGUCUGAAAGGGGUGAGAUCAAAUACAAGAUCUGAUUCUUUUUAUUUAUGCAACAACGGUUUGGUAACAAAAUUGAUGAGAAUUACCGAAACGCACAUCACUGGUAGAAUUUUCCUGGAUCUCAGGUGUUUUUACAAGAAGCCUAUGCCAUCAAAUUCCAUCAAUAUUUACAAAUCAACCGGACUUGCGCGUUCUUCAAACAUAUGGGAAACCAGCAAAUUGCAGCUUUCUUCGAAGUGUUGGGUUAUGCCAUACGAGAAAGGGUGCAUCAUCGUCCCAAUAAUACAUCAUGAUCUAUAGGCCUGCAGAAGCUUCACUUCUUCGGUAUUUAUUCGGAGGGGCUAUCUUUCCACCGAAGACUUCAUCGAUUCAGUGCAGUGCUUUAUUUUCUAUGCGUUUAAUGAGCGAUACAUGAGGGGGAAAAAAAUACUACGUUAAAGUCCAAGAA
Long non-coding RNA from Daphnia magna, 483 nucleotides. RefSeq lists it as uncharacterized. The record is from RefSeq and is a predicted model, not a curated record. NCBI's taxonomy places the organism in Eukaryota, Metazoa, Arthropoda, Branchiopoda, Diplostraca, Daphniidae. The transcript is spliced from 2 exons.